Molecule: long non-coding RNA, 205 nt
Filed under: Rhinopithecus bieti (black snub-nosed monkey)
Lineage: Eukaryota; Metazoa; Chordata; Mammalia; Primates; Cercopithecidae
Description: lncRNA (ENSRBIG00000045953.1)
Source: RNAcentral
UCAUCUCCAUCUCAGCACUGAAGAAACCAAGGUUCAAGGAGGCAAAAUAUUCAGAUGAACCACAUGAAACUGUCAAUAUUCAUCAUCAUCCAACAGAAAUGGCAAGUUAGUAAUUUCCCACAAGCCUCAGAGCAGGGCUCCCAUCAUCUGUGAGUAUGGCUAAAAAUUUGGAUAAUCAUUUUGUCCUCGUGCAUCUGAGAAUGAC